UGAGGGCAUAUUGAAGCAUCUUCGUGUGUGGAAAGUUCAGAGCGAGUCAAGUAUUUAAGUUUCCACCAGUCUCCCCCUGCCGCCAUGUCUGGCUCUGCUUUCAGUGUGCUGAGUGUGCUAUAAUCUGCUAAAACCUGCUGCCAUACACUGCGCUCUGGCAAUCCUUUCUACUGCUGGCCAGGAUCCAUGCCAAGUCUACCUCAUUAAAAUGAAGCAUAUGCAGAUCUGCCUUGUUGAAGCUAAUGGUGACAUUUAAUUGCUGUGUCUGGUCUUCAGUGAUUGGUGAACGUGCGAUAUUUCUUAA
This is a non-coding RNA of Pimephales promelas (fathead minnow), 304 nucleotides long. The record is from RefSeq and is a predicted model, not a curated record. NCBI's taxonomy places the organism in Eukaryota, Metazoa, Chordata, Actinopteri, Cypriniformes, Leuciscidae.